This 275-nucleotide ribosomal RNA is filed under the name uncultured bacterium. RNAcentral describes it as "partial 16S ribosomal RNA". It matches the Rfam family "Bacterial small subunit ribosomal RNA", at positions 79 to 353 of the family's 1533-position model. The record is from RNAcentral.
CUAAGUUUGAUGGCGACCGGCGCACGGGUGAGUAACACGUAUCCAACCUGCCGAUGACUCGGGGAUAGCCUUUCGAAAGAAAGAUUAAUACCCGAUGGCAUAGUUCUUCCGCAUGGUGGAACUAUUAAAGAAUUUCGGUCAUCGAUGGGGAUGCGUUCCAUUAGGUUGUUGGCGGGGUAACGGCCCACCAAGCCUUCGAUGGAUAGGGGUUCUGAGAGGAAGGUCCCCCACAUUGGAACUGAGACACGGUCCAAACUCCUACGGGAGACAGCAUG